GAGAGGGAGAGUGCGGCUGACGGUAGCCGGUUUGAUUAUAUCUGAUCGGCAGCUGAGGAAAGUCCCUCCACCUACCGGGUACGCAGCCUCGUUCAUUCGGGGAUGGCGAGAGUCAUGGCUAUGGCACAGAAACGACACGGCCUGAUCUGAGCUAUGAUGCAGAUCCAAACUGCAGAGCAUCGAAGUUCAGGAGUCGAUGGAACGGUGAAUCCCUGCGGGUGCAAGCCGGAACAGGGCAUACAGGCAGCCCGGUGUCUGCCCGGGUUCGGCGCUAAGCUGAAUGCCGCAAUGAACAGAAGGGGGCUUACUCCUCCCACUC
This 319-nucleotide RNase P RNA is filed under the name Methanospirillum lacunae. RNAcentral's name for it is "Archaeal RNase P". It matches the Rfam family "Archaeal RNase P". Rfam says of the family: Ribonuclease P (RNase P) is a ubiquitous endoribonuclease, found in archaea, bacteria and eukarya as well as chloroplasts and mitochondria. The record is from Rfam by way of RNAcentral. Lineage: Archaea; Methanobacteriati; Methanobacteriota; Methanomicrobia; Methanomicrobiales; Methanospirillaceae.